UUUAUCAGCAAUCAGUUCGCAACGCAGUUCAGCUCUGGCACUGGAGUAGUUUCUCUCACACGCGACAGCACAGACUGAUAGCGUCUGUAUAAUAUUAGUGGACGAAAUGAACAUCAUACGACCAUGUUUGCGCUUCUCGGGAACGAGUAUUUUAUGUCGGAGCAAUGGUGUAGAAUCCAGUUGCUGUAAACUGCGGAAUAUCAGCUCUCUGAUCUCAUCAUGGAUGGGUGGUGAGCAAAGAACACUAAUCUCUAAGACAAAGGGAAAUGACGUCUUUCAUUCACCACCCUGGCGUUUCCAGCAGGUCCGCACUGGGAAAAGAGGCACUGAGUAUCAGCCAAACAACAUCAAGCGAAAGAGGACUCAUGGUUGGAUUAAAAGGAUUAGCACACAGGGGGGCAUCGAGGUGAUUCUACGUAGAAUGCUUAAAGGAAGAAAAUCACUGACACACUGAAGCACAUUGAGACUCAAGCUGACUAAAAUGGAGUGUUGUAGAAAAUUAACGUUUGUUGUCUGUAAUAAAGAGCCAUAUAAGAAAAUGCUUUA
This is a long non-coding RNA of Tachysurus fulvidraco (yellow catfish), 546 nucleotides long. RefSeq lists it as uncharacterized. NCBI's taxonomy places the organism in Eukaryota, Metazoa, Chordata, Actinopteri, Siluriformes, Bagridae. The transcript has 3 exons. The record is from RefSeq and is a predicted model, not a curated record.